AGGCCCUAUGGGGCGCAGCAGGCGAGAAACCUUUGCAAUGUGCGAAAGCACGACAAGGUUAAUCCGAGUGUCUCCUGCUAAAGGAGUCUUUUGUCAGUUGUAGAAUCACUGGUGAAUAAGGGGUGGGCAAGUUCUGGUGUCAGCCGCCGCGGUAAAACCAGCACCUCGAGUGGUCAGGAGGUUUAUUGGGCCUAAAGCAUCCGUAGCCGGUUGCAUAAGUUUUCGGUUAAAUCUAUGCGCUUAACGUAUAGGCCGCCGAAAAUACUGUGCAGCUAGGGAGUGGGAGAGGUACACGGUACUCGAUAGGAAGGGGUAAAAUCCUUUGAUCUAUUGAAGACCACCUGUGGCGAAGGCGGUGUACCAGAACACGUUCGACGGUGAGGGAUGAAAGCUGGGGGAGCAAACCGGAUUAGAUACCCGGGUAGUCCCAGCUGUAAACGAUGCAGACUCGGUGAUGCAUUGGCUUGUGGCCAAUGCAGUGCCGCAGGGAAGCCGUUAAGUCUGCCGCCUGGGAAGUACGUACGCAAGUAUGAAACUUAAAGGAAUUGGCGGGGGAGCACCACAAGGGGUGAAGCCUGCGGUUCAAUUGGAGUCACGCU
Molecule: ribosomal RNA, 599 nt
Filed under: uncultured archaeon
Lineage: Archaea
Description: bacterial SSU rRNA
Rfam family: Archaeal small subunit ribosomal RNA
Source: RNAcentral